This is a long non-coding RNA of Polyodon spathula (Mississippi paddlefish), 1620 nucleotides long. RefSeq lists it as uncharacterized. The record is from RefSeq and is a predicted model, not a curated record. NCBI's taxonomy places the organism in Eukaryota, Metazoa, Chordata, Actinopteri, Acipenseriformes, Polyodontidae. The transcript has 3 exons.
GUUGAAAGUGGUUCAGUCUGUGGGGGUCAGGUUCCUGAUCUUGGAUUAUUCCUAAAACUAAUAGAAAUUUGCCAUUGCAAAAUGAAGGAGGUAUUUCACACCCAAUCAUCCUUGGUAAAUUACAUGUUAUUGAAAUGUGGAAUCAAUAGUAAUGGUUCUUCACUUUCUCGUUUUUUCCCAAGGUAAAUGUCGGCCCAUUAGCAUAUGCAAGAGCUUUCCUAGAUGACACCAGUACAAAGAGAUUCCCUGAUAAUAAAGUGAAGCAGCUAAAGGAGGUAUUUAGACAAUUUGUGGAGGCCAGUGGUCAUGGUUUAGGGAUAAAUGAAAGACUAAUUAAAGAAGAUCAGUUGGAAUAUCAGGAAGAAAUGAAGGCCAACUACAGAGACAUGGCAAGAGAGCUUUCUGAAAUUAUGCACGAGCAGAUUUCUCCCGUUGAAGAUGGGAUGAAGAGCAGCGUGAUGCCGAACUCACUUCAUAUCUUCAACGCCAUCAGUGGAACUCCAAGCAGCACCACUGUUCAUGGGGUCCCCAGCACCUCUUCAGUCGUGUGACAGCAACAUGCAGCUUGGAAAGCAGAGACACACAUUUUUAUUUAAGAACUCCUUUUUUCUUUGUUAAGUUAUUGCUUGCAACACUCAGGAUUUCUCCAAAGCUGAAUAUUGGGCAUGUGCAAGCAGGUAAGUGUGGUGAAACCAAAAAGGUAUUUGGAGUCCAACUUCCUGUGUACCACGACUUACUUAGGAAUAGAGUGUAUGUCUUGUAAAGAGGACCUAAUGGAUAUUUUUAUGCCAGUUUACACAAAUCUGUAUUAUUCUGUACAUAAGUGUUAACAUCAGGUUAAUCAAGUAGGUUUUCUGGACAAGAAGGAGGGUGUAAAAAAGGGUAUUUUGAAAGCAUAUUUGAAACAUACUUCUUAUUUGAAAGCUAUUCUGUACAUUUUACAUAUUAAACUGUAACUGUAUUGUGUUCUUGUGUAGUGUUUCCUGUGGAGACUUCAGAAUGUGGAUUUUAAGCAACAAGAACACUUUAUGCAUGUAAUUAGUCACCUUGUUCUAGCAUAUUGGGAAAUUAUUUUGUUGUAGCAUAUUGGGAAAUUAUUUUGUAUUAAUGGGCCUAAAAAUCUUGUCCAUACUUUUUGUAUGUAUCCAAGUGUAUUAAACAUGUCUGCUCUAGAAUUGGAUGGUCAGCUUUGGAGGAUGUGUUAAUGAACAUUUGUUGCACAAUGUGUGUUGGUCCUUAUGUAAUGUUCAUUGGUAUAUUCCAAACAUAACGUAUAUGAAGAUGUAUAUUUCUACACAUAAAGUUGUCCUAUUUUAAAGUAUCUUCCCAUACAAGCUUUAGCCUUCUGCUUUAAACACAAAUUGUCUUAAGACAAAUGCAUAAUAUGCUAGAUCAAAUGCUGUGUGUAUUCUUGUAUAUAAACUAGUGCAAUAUUUGUCUUUCAGCAAGGUGUCUGCAAUAUUUGGUUCAUACACUGUAAUGAUAACGUUCAUCCUUUUGCCAAAGUGAUGGAGUAUGUGACCAGUGACAAUGCAUACUGUGGAAAUGGUUGUUGUAAUUUAAAGCUUUUACCAUUUGAACGAUCUUUUAAAACCAUUAAUUAAAUAAUUUUAUAUUUGG